UAGGGAAUCUUCCGCAAUGGGCGAAAGCUUGACGGAGCAACGCCGCGUGAGUGAUGAAGGUCUUCGGAUCGUAAAACUCUGUUAUUAGGGAAGAACAAAUGUGUAAGUAACUAUGCACGUCUUGACGGUACCUAAUCAGAAAGCCACGGCUAACUACGUGCCAGCAGCCGCGGUAAUACGUAGGUGGCAAGCGUUAUCCGGAAUUAUUGGGCGUAAAGCGCGCGUAGGCGGUUUUUUAAGUCUGAUGUGAAAGCCCCCGGCUCAACCGGGGAGGGUCAUUUGAAACUGGUUGACUUGAGUGCAGAAGAGGAGAGUGGAAUUCCAUGUGUAGCGGUGAAAUGCGUAGAUAUAUGGAGGAACACCAGUGGCGAAGGCGACUCUCUGGUCUGUAACUGACGCUGAGGCUCGAAAGCGUGGGGAGCGAACAGG
Molecule: ribosomal RNA, 429 nt
Filed under: Bacteroidota bacterium
Lineage: Bacteria; Pseudomonadati; Bacteroidota
Description: Bacteroidetes bacterium partial 16S ribosomal RNA
Rfam family: Bacterial small subunit ribosomal RNA
Source: RNAcentral